AGGAAGUAAAAGUCGUAACAAGGUCUCCGUUGGUGAACCAGCGGAGGGAUCAUUACCGAGUUAUCAACUCCCAAACCCCUGUGAACAUACCUGAACGUUGCUUCGGCGGGACCGCCCCGGCGCCCUCACCCGGCCCGGAACCAGGCGCCCGCCGGAGGACCCAAACUCUUGUUUAAUUUAGUGGCAUAUUCUGAGUCUCACAAACAAAAAAUGAAUCAAAACUUUCAACAACGGAUCUCUUGGCUCUGGCAUCGAUGAAGAACGCAGCGAAAUGCGAUAAGUAAUGUGAAUUGCAGAAUUCAGUGAAUCAUCGAAUCUUUGAACGCACAUUGCGCCCGCCAGUAUUCUGGCGGGCAUGCCUGUUCGAGCGUCAUUUCAACCCUCAAGCCCUCCCUUCGGGGAACGGGCUUGGUGUUGGGGACCGGCCCCCCGCGGCCGCCCCCGAAAUGCAGUGGCGACCUCGCCGCAGCCUCCCCUGCGUAGUAG
RNAcentral lists this unclassified non-coding RNA (486 nucleotides) under Tolypocladium sp. MK1-2020. RNAcentral's name for it is "sequence contains 18S rRNA gene, ITS1, 5.8S rRNA gene, ITS2, 28S rRNA gene". The stretch from base 220 to 373 matches the Rfam family "5.8S ribosomal RNA". The record is from RNAcentral. Lineage: Eukaryota; Fungi; Ascomycota; Sordariomycetes; Hypocreales; Ophiocordycipitaceae.